CAUUAAAGAGUUCUAUAACUCCCAAACCCAUGUGAACAUACCUAACGUUGCCUCGGCAGGUCGCACCUACCUUGUAGCACCCUACCCUGUAGGGCCUACCCGGGAGGUGCGGGUAAGCCUGCCGGCGGCCCACCAAACUCUGUUUGAUAUUGAAUUCUGAACCUAUAACUAAAUAAGUUAAAACUUUCAACAACGGAUCUCUUGGUUCUGGCAUCGAUGAAGAACGCAGCGAAAUGCGAUAAGUAAUGUGAAUUGCAGAAUUCAGUGAAUCAUCGAAUCUUUGAACGCAUAUUGCGCCCAUUAGUAUUCUAGUGGGCAGGACCGUUCGAGCGUCAUUUCAACCCUUAAGCCUUCGUUGCUUAGUGUUGGGAGCCUACGGCAACGUAGCUCCUCAAAGUUAGUGGCGGAGUUGGUUCACACUCUAGACGUAGUAAUUUUUUAUCUCGCCUAUUAGUUGGACUAAUCCCCUGCCGUAAAACCCCCAAUUUAUCAAGGUUGACCUCGAAUCGGUUCAGACAAACUCGCUAAAUUGAAGCAUCUUAGUCAGCGAAGGAAAAGAAACCAACAGGGAUUGCCCUAGUAACGGCGAGUGAAGCGGCAACAGCUCAAAUUUGAAAUCUGGCCCUCGGGUCCGAGUUGUA
This 641-nucleotide ribosomal RNA is filed under the name fungal endophyte. Its description in RNAcentral is "eukaryotic LSU rRNA". The stretch from base 182 to 335 matches the Rfam family "5.8S ribosomal RNA". The record is from RNAcentral. Lineage: Eukaryota; Fungi.